GUGGGGAAUCUUGCGCAAUGGGCGAAAGCCUGACGCAGCCAUGCCGCGUGAAUGAUGAAGGUCUUAGGAUUGUAAAAUUCUUUCACCGGGGACGAUAAUGACGGUACCCGGAGAAGAAGCCCCGGCUAACUUCGUGCCAGCAGCCGCGGUAAUACGAAGGGGGCUAGCGUUGCUCGGAAUUACUGGGCGUAAAGGGAGCGUAGGCUGAUAGUUUAGUCAGAGGUGAAAGCCCAGGGCUCAACCUUGGAAUUGCCUUUGAUACUGGCUAUCUUGAGUAUGGAAGAGGUAUGUGGAACUCCGAGUGUAGAGGUGAAAUUCGUAGAUAUUCGGAAGAACACCAGUGGCGAAGGCGACAUACUGGUCCAUUACUGACGCUGAGGCUCGAAAGCGUGGGGAGCAAACAGGAUUAGAAACCCCUGUAGUCC
This 425-nucleotide ribosomal RNA is filed under the name uncultured bacterium. Its description in RNAcentral is "partial 16S ribosomal RNA". It matches the Rfam family "Bacterial small subunit ribosomal RNA", at positions 354 to 796 of the family's 1533-position model. The record is from RNAcentral.